UAUUGUGGGCCUUCCUGCUUACCAGUGCCCACUCUUGUCUGAUCUCUGAAGCUAAGCAGGGCCAUGCCUGGUUAGCGCUUGGAUGGGAGACCGCUGGGAAUACCAGGUGUCACAGUGG
RNAcentral lists this ribosomal RNA (118 nucleotides) under Periophthalmus magnuspinnatus. The record is from RNAcentral. Lineage: Eukaryota; Metazoa; Chordata; Actinopteri; Gobiiformes; Gobiidae.